This 228-nucleotide ribosomal RNA is filed under the name uncultured archaeon. RNAcentral describes it as "partial 16S ribosomal RNA". It matches the Rfam family "Archaeal small subunit ribosomal RNA", at positions 23 to 246 of the family's 1478-position model. The record is from RNAcentral.
GCCACUGCUAUUGGGGUUCGGCUAAGCCAUGCGAGUGGAGGGCGUCCCGCAAGGGAUGGCCCCGCAGACGGCUCAGUAACACGUCGUCAACCCACCUUAGGGUGGGGGACAACCUCGGGAAACUGAGGAUAAUCCCCCAUAGGCGGGGGAGGCUGGAAUGCGCCCCCGCUGAAAGCUCAGGCGCCCUAGGACGGGACAGCGGCCUAUCAGGUAGUUGGUGGUGUGACG